This 73-nucleotide transfer RNA is filed under the name Parcubacteria group bacterium RIFOXYD2_FULL_52_8. Its description in RNAcentral is "tRNA-Ile". It matches the Rfam family "tRNA". Rfam says of the family: Transfer RNA (tRNA) molecules are approximately 80 nucleotides in length. Their secondary structure includes four short double-helical elements and three loops (D, anti-codon, and T loops). The record is from RNAcentral.
CCGCGCGUAGCUCAGUUGGUAGAGCAAACGACUGAUACUCGUUAGGUCCCAAGUUCGAAUCUUGGCGCGCGGA